Molecule: ribosomal RNA, 497 nt
Filed under: uncultured bacterium
Lineage: Bacteria
Description: partial 16S ribosomal RNA
Rfam family: Bacterial small subunit ribosomal RNA
Source: RNAcentral
GAUGAACGCUGGCGGCGUGCCUAAUACAUGCAAGUCGAGCGAACGGACGCGAAGCUUGCUUCUCUGAUGUUAGCGGCGGACGGGUGAGUAACACGUGGAUAACCUACCUAUCAGACUGGGAAAACUUCGGGAAACCGGAGCUAAUACCGGAUAAUAUUUUGAACCGCAUGGUUCAAAAGUGAAAGACGGUCUUGCUGUAACUUAUAGAUGGAUCCGCGCUGCAUUAGCUAGUUGGUAAGGUCAAGGCUUACCAAGGCAACGAUGCAUAGCCGACCUGAGAGGGGGAUCGGCCACACUGGAACGUAGACACGGUCCAUACUCCUACGGGAGGCAGCAGUAGGGAAUCUGCCGCAGUGGUCGAAAGCCUGACGGAGCAACGCCGCGUGAGUGAUGAAGGUCUUCGGAUCGUAAAACUCUGUUAUGAGGUAAGAACAUAUGUGUAAGUAACUGUGCACAGCGUGACGGUACCUAAUCAGAAAGCCACGGCUAACUACGUG